UCUCUGGAGAGAUACAGAGACAGACAGAGUGAGACACACGUGAUGGGAGUGGGUGAGUAAUCCUGGGGGCAGGGAUUGUUGUUGUUGUUGUUAAUAAACUUAUGGUACCGGGAGUCUAAAGCUCGGCAGCGGUCACCCCAAGAGAGUCAGAUUAAAGACAAACCGUGUGCGUGUAUUUUCUUGGUAAAGGGCAAGGGUAUGCACAUGAAAACUUUGAAGUAAACAUGACACUGGGGUGAUGUCCGGAAUAUGCUCCCUGCAGCUUUAAGGCUGCAAUUCUUCUAACAUAAUUUUAGCUGCUACUAUCUCAAGAACUGCUAUAGUUAGAAAGCAAGCCAGUGAACUAAACAGCCUGCAAGAGAGUAAUCCCAGCUUCCAAAUCCCUCUCUGUAGUGGUUAGCAAGGCACUGGCUGCCACACUCAUGUCAGACUAGAAACUGGGAAAAACACUCUGCUCUUUUAUAGCAUCUUCCCGUUAUCAGUCGUCUGCCACCCCUGCAAGGUGGGAUCAGGGAACGGGUGCAGAACUUUCUUCCAGUCACAGGAAAAGCUGGUAGCAGAGCUCCGAGCUAAAUCUGGAUGACCAAAAGAUCCCUUUCACCGUCUACCUGCUUGAAGUACUGAAGGGGUACCCCACUCUCGGAGCAGGCUAAGUGCCUUUAAAAUGAAGCUUUUCAUUUCUACUUCCCACAGACAUCAAUAUUUAACAGAGAAGUCUCCCUCACAGGAAACAAAUGAUUAUCGCUUCCACUCUUUCCUCCUAUAAUAUCAAUCCUGAUCAAUCUCGUUGGUAUUGGCAUGGGAAUAGAUGGAUAUAGAUUUCACCGGGAAUCCCUUGGAGGCUGGAGUUGGGACAGCCUCAUCUCGAUUACCUGGCUGGGCUGGCAGGACACUGCACACAUCCCAGAGAAAAACCCUCCUUGGAUCAAUAGAAACCCGCCGCGGAGCUCAGCAGAGCCAGAUCAACUUCCUGCGCUGUGGUCAGACUCGUUCCUUUGAGACCAGGAGGUCUCCUGGGGUAGGGCAGGACUGGUGUCUGCUGCACGGUGGAGGCGAGCUCUGGGAUUCCCCCUUACACACACGCAGCCUGACCACAGAAGUGGCAGAGGCGAGCUCGCAGACCUGGGCCGAGGGUAAACACUCCCGGCACGUGACUCGGCUGCCUUGACGUCGCUGCCCUGGCACUACUCCCAGCAAUUACGGCAUCGCACAUGCUCCUGCCCCCACGCUCUCCCCACAGAUCCCGGCCUGCUGCUGGUCUUAUUGGGUGUUUUGUUGCAGCUACUGCUGCUACAGCCUCGCUCGGGCAGCAGGAGGGGAAGAGGCAGGCUACCAGAACAGCAUGCCCUGGUUUCGGGCACAAUUUGUAACGAGGCAGAAUUUAUUCUCCUGGUUUCGCUGAUGUAAAUCUGGAGUAGCUCCCACUGACUUGAGCUGAUCUAUAUUCUAGCAAAUUCAAAAUAUAUCUUGCCCUCUUUUCGGAGACAAAGAGCGAUGAGGCAUGUGUGCAUGUGGGACGGAGCACGGGGAGGCACGAAUCUUCCCGAGGCAGGACUCGGGGAGCUGCGCUGAUCCCUGCUUCCCGUUGCCUUACCUGGUAGUUGCACUCUGGGUCAAGGCAGUGGUAAUGUUCUCGGUACUGGUAUGCACAGUGUAUGUGUCCACAGUGCUGGCUGCCAGAGAACCUGCGAGCACGAGAGAAGCACAGAAGAGAGAAAGGAAGAGAGAGUGAAAUGGUGCCCUGUCCUGGCAGCAGUGUCUGUAAGCACGGCACAAAGGGAGUAGGUCCCACUCCUGCAUCCCACGUGUUCAGGUCAUCAAACCCUAUCAACUUGACCACCUCCGAGGAUGGUGAUCCCUCCCACCUUCCCUUUGUUAUUUGUCACUGCUUAAAAAGGUGUUUCCUGAGCAAGAUCUUUCUGGGCUUUUACCUCCCCGAGCCGCAUGUGCUUUUCUUGGAAAUUCACCUCCAUUCUUUAGAAGCCGCUUACCUGGGAAGAGCAAGCAAGUGCGGCUGGUUCCCUGAACUAAACACCACACAGAUCGAGUUUGGAUACCUCAGCAGUGAGUUUCAGAAACUUCCCACACCACGAGGAGACAAAUUAACAUCGGUCAAAUACAGACCCUAGGCAUGUGCGCAUCCAGCAGGACCUCCGAAAAGCUCAGGCAUUCGUUUGUUUGUACAAGUUAUGCCUCGGUGUUUUUCUUUCUGGUUGCAAUAUGGUGUCACGCUACUGGGAAGGCUGCAAGGCAGCAGAGGGUAAGCCACAAAGGCAGUGGAAAAUCGUGGCACGAUUAUGUAGGAGCUCUUCCAGUGAGAUGGAGAGUAAGGGAAGGACAGGGCGAUGGAGCAGCAGGGCCAGGAUGAACGCUGCAGGCAGACCUGUGUGCACGUCCCUCCCCAUGCACAACAGCGCUGACCGGUCCCGCUAAUCAUCAUUUUCCACGUGGAUGCAGAUUUGCUCACGACAAGGUACUGCAAGGCAGAGCCACGGGGCUUCCAGCCUGCCUCACGUGCAGGUGAGAGCAGGGCACAAGGACAGCAGCCAGCAACGCGCACCCGCUCCAUUCACCUCCACCCAGCCCUCCACACAACAAAUCUGGGAAGUCCUGGCAUACGGGGUGGGAAAAAGGGCAGAAAGGCUGUAUGGUAUCUGCAGAUAAAUGGACGCUUGGGCUGCCAGACAGAGCAGUAACUGGGGAAGGGGUGGUGCAGCACCGGGCUGCUCCGGGCAGGGAUCUCCGGUGCGUGUUCCAGAGGAACCUGGAGGAGCUGAAGAGCUUGAAAGGGAAAAGCAGCGGAGGGAAGGGGACUCAGAGGGGAAACAUUGAAAGAUAAAGUGCCAUCUGCUCAAAGGUUCCUCACGUCACUUUGUGCUAAACGCACCGGGAGCGCACAUGAUAAAGGGCAUCGGAAAGAAAUGAGGAAGGAGAGAGGGAAAAAAAGGGAAAAAAGGGAAAAAAGGGAAAAAAGGAAAAAAAGGAAAAAAAGGAAAAAAAGGAAAAAAAAGGAAAAAAAGGAAUAAAAGGGGGGUGAAGGUGUUCUGGGGCAAUGGGUGGAGGGGGCAGGAGCAGGGAGGAUUAUGGAGUGUUGUAAGGGGCACUGUGUGAGCACUAAGCUGCAGGGCAGGAAAGGGAGCCGGGAUGAAAAGCAGCACUAAAUACACGUCCUGAAGUGCAGUGAGGAAGAGGAGGUCAGCUGUGGAGACAGCAGGGCCUCCUGGAGAUGGAGAGGGGGCUUAAUUGACAGAAAAGAUAGACAAUGCUAAAAAAUUAAAUGCCUUCUUUGCCUCAGCGUUCACAAAGGGAGACGGGGACAGAUGCCAGGAGCAGACUUGCCUUUCCCUGGGGAAGGAGAAGAAAUACUGCAGGAAAUCGGGAUCACGCCAGAACAGGUGAUUGAGAAACUGGAACAAACCCCGGCAGCGGAGAAGAAACAAACCACAAGGCAAACAGCAACGCUGGCUGCGCAAACAGAGGUGUGGAGCUGGGAGGGGAGGCAGCGAGCCCGGCCGGCGGCGGGGCAGUGGCGAGGCUCGCACGGGGCACGGGCAGCAGCCUGAGUCACCGGGACACCAAGCAGCACCCCAGCAGCCCGUCCUGCUGCUCCGGGGCUGCGUGUCAGCAGCCUGGAAAGGCCGAGGAACUGCUCGGUGGAAAGCUUCCUCCCUGCCGCAGGGAUGAGAUGGGGAGGAGAGAGCAAAGGGCUGGAGGGCUGGGGAGUGCUGGCCAGGCAGGGAGGAGGGGAAGACAGAGAGCUGGCAAAGGCAGCGCUCCGGCAGAGCUGUCCAAAAGGGCAUCCCAAGCGAGGAUGCGAACGCAGCAGUGAUGCCAACUGCAGCAGCAGAAGGGCCAGGCACCAAAGCAAUCUGCCUGGAUGGGAUGAGUUACUUGGAGCAUCCGAACAGGAGCCGCUCACAGGCUCAGCUCCAAGGGCAUCAGCUGAGUGAGCUCCCCGGCCCUGCAAACCCUGCCCUGGCAGAGGUGUGAGUGUGUGAGUGUGUGAGUGUGUGUGUGAGUGUGUGAGUGUGUGUGUGAGUGUGUGUGUGCAUGGGUGGCAGUGGCUGUGGGUGUGUUUGUGGGGUGCCCGGCGCAGGAAGGGAGCGGCGGGCGCUCGACCACGCUGAGCGCGCGGGGAAGGAGGGAAGCGGCACGCACAGCACCACGGGGCGAGGCGGCUCCUGCAGGCUGCAGGGCCAGGCUCCUAAAGGGUUAUCUUUAUCCUCUGUUUCUUCUGACACUUGAAACAGUUCAAAGCUAUUAAUUUUUAAAGCACAGCAUCUGUUUAGCUUUUCCCUAACAGGAAAGCUCGCGCAGCACACACUCACUUACACGCACACACACGCGCCCAUCUCCGUGCCCUGCUCCGAGGAGCAUCGACACCCCUGGUAAUUUACAGGACCGGACCCGCAGUUUGCAUGCACAUGAGCAGGCACGAGCACACGCACACCUGAUUGCAAACUCGCAGCCCAUUUCAGCACGCCGAUAUGCAAAUCCAGGCUCCUGAGUUGUGCGCACAGGCACAGAGAUUCAUUUUCACAAGUGCAACUCCCUCCCCCUUCCCUUACUUUAAUCUCUUCACUUUUUUUUUUUUUUUCUUUUUUGCCAGAAAGAACUAGUCUCGAUCUGGCAAGAGUUAGAACGAAAAACCAAGAUAAAUAAAUAAUAAUAAAAAUAAUAAAUAAAGAAGUCAGCAUGCUUAGUGAGUGUUUACAGACUCAUUACCCUGUAACGAUGAUGUGAAAGAAGGAAGAAAAAAACCCACCCCAAUUACAAGGGGGGGAGGAAACCCACACAGAAAUAAAUAUUUAAGCAAGUGCUGCCAGAAGCACCAUCUGCUGAGGCACUAAUAAUAAUAAUAAUAAUUUUUUCUGUGGUCUUUUUUUUUUUUUUUAAUUAUAAAUAUAGAGGGGGAAAAAAAAAGCACAAAAAACAACCCAACCCAAACUAGCUAAGUAAGAGGUUUUGUUUUGUUGUGUGAGAGAAUGGAUUAUCCCUGGGCAGCUUUUGGCAGUGGCUUUGGCAAACUCAUUAAGCUAAUUAUGCAGCGCAGACAUACAGUGUCGUGUCUCUCUCCCCCCCCACCCCCCCCACCCCCUUGAUUUUAAGGCUUUAAACUGUUUUUAAAAUUGUGUGUAAAUUGAAGGGAAGUGGCUGUGCUGCCAACGGGCGGCUUGCGGAGCUCUCUGAGCAGGAUGUGGUGUCCCUGAGCUAUCUCACAAGCCUCCCUCGGUUACCUGCCUGACCCCGGGGAAGGGGCUUGCAGAGCGCUCCGAGGUGUGGAUGUGGUCGCGAUUACACGGGGCUCUGCUUCAGAGGGGAGCUGGGGACAGAGCGGGUGGCAUCGCCUCUCCCUCUGCAACCUCCGAGCACAACCGAGCUGCGUCUCAGCAGUAAAAGGGCGCUGCUGCUCCUGCCCCACACCAAGGGCUUGGAGCCCUGCUCUCAUUCCCAGACCCUCCCAGGAGGCAGCAAGGGGCUGAUGUGUGUGCAAGACACCUACCGGUGUCUUUCCGUAAACGGGGCUGGCAUGGUUAGCUCCGUGCCAGUACGGAGGGAGGAUCCAGCAGGCCAAGAGCAGGGGCUGGUGAGUGACAAAAAGAGGCAGGUGCCGUGCAAUAACCUCCCCUGUCCCUGGUGGCAUCGCCCCGUGCAGCACUGCAGCCUGGGCUCCCUCUCAGCAUCGCUUGUUCCUUGCCCAGAGCUGAGCUGAGGUGCCCCAGCCCGCACCUUCCUCACAAAGGGUUUCUCAAAUAAAGGAGCUGCAAAAUAUCCCCCCCUGACGCUGAGACCUGCCUAAACUCAGUUUCGCUCGUGGAUUCCUCCCAGCCUGGGUUCUCAGGGGCGAGAUGUUCUCUGCCUGCCUCCCGUGGGCACUGGACGUGGCAGGGGGAAGAGGCAGGAGCUGGCACCGCAGCGGGCACAGCCUGACAGCUAGGAGACGGCGCUCCCAUUUACAUCACGGGCUUCUGCAGGGAAACAUUUUUCCACUAUUUGUCACAACGUCUAACAGCUCUGGGGAGCCGAGCAUGCUCUUGGCAUGCCUGUACACCUCUCACAGCUACUGCUCUCCCAGGCAGGGGAACAGAGCGAGCACAGAUGCCAGAGGGAAAUGGAAGUGCCAAGGGCUGGUUUAAACACUUGGCCCGGCUGGCCGAGACCUCCUGCCUGCCCCCACCGCCCCACCCUCGUCCUUCCAGCCCUCUCCCCAAGAAAGCCCGGAGUUUUGCCUACCUGGCAAUAUACUUCUGGUAAAUAUUUACAUCUUCGCUGACGGCUGGUUUGUCAGUGGGUAAUCCGUUCCUAGUGAGAAACACACAGGGCAGAGCUGGUUAGCGGAGGGACAGGGCACGGCCGCGCUCCUGGUUUCGCUCUCACGCCUCGAGGUAACUGGGUACCCGUGUGCGGACCUGGGGUGGCCACGGGAAGACCAAGAGCUCCCUGAGCACCUUGCAAUACCACCUGCUUUUGCAGAGAUGAGGCAUUUAUGUACCUUAAUCACUGAAAACCAAACAGCACCCAAAUGCCAGAUGAGCUCGGGUGACUAGGCACCGUUAGGAAGCAGACAGAAGUUGCAUCCCACUCACCCUCUCCUCCUACUCACGGCAGCUCUGCAGCCUGGUUUAACAAGGACACCUUUGCCCAGGGUUUGCUUGGAGUAAGAGGAGCUCAGGGCAGGUUUCAUAGCAUUAGGUGGCAGAGCUGCAACCCAUGGCUGGGAUAGGUGCAUAUGUGUGAGAGCGAGGGGUAAUUCCUGCCAGGUUUUUGGGCCCAGGGGGGUCUGAAGGGGAAGGCAGGUCCCAGACAGCAGGGAGCACCUCCUCCACCAGCACAGUUAAUGAGCUGCCUUCCUUUAGCACAAAACCCUGUGCCUAGCAGGCAGCCUGAAGGAGAAGGAUCAGAGCCACUCCAGUGCUCCGGCGUGUGAUCAGGUGCCCCUGGUCACCCCCAGCCCCACCACCAUGCCCCAGCCAAGGCAGUUUUGGGGCACGGGGAGGAGGGAUCACCAUGGUGCUGCAAACCCCAUCCGCAGGCGGCAGGAAAUGAGCACGAGAAAGGCAAUCAGACCGGGAUCCCAGCACAACGCGGAGGCAGAGGAGCGGAGGCUCGCAGCCCCCGCACACAGCUCGACGGUGGCCACGGCACAGCCAGCAGCUGAGCACCUUGGAGACCCGGCAGGCACAGAGCCCCCGGCCACAGUCACCCCUCACAACAAGGCACUGAGCCUCCAGGAACAUUUACAGCAGUGGUUUUUAGUAAGAGCAGUGCCUGCCUGCCAUCUGGAGCACGUACCAGCUUCGCCCCGACCGGGGAGCAGAUGCGAACGGCUGUAAUCCUUUACCCUCUGCCGUACAGCCAGGUGAGGAUUCAGCCCAAGGCUUCCCAACAGUGAGGACAGGUAAAUCCGAGCCAUCAGAACAAAACAGGCACGUGCCUCCCUCCCUGCUUGCAGCCUGACUUGGAUAAAUCAGGGGACUGUAAGACUUAAAGGGUCUGUUGGGCAGAAUUUGGCCCUUUUUCACGAGGCAGCAGAGGUUUCAGGACCCCCAGCAGCCCUGGCACUCUCACCGUGCCAUGGCAUGAACUGCAGCGUGGUGCUGUGUCUGUGCCCCUCGGUCCAACACUGCCUUUCCUGCAGCUCCCACCUCUGGAAGCCAAGCUACGAAGGAAGCCAAGGUUUGGCAAGGCCUUUGGCCAUCUCCAUUCAGUCCACAGCAUCGCUGCAGAGAUUGCCAGCACCGUGUGUGUAGGAGGUUAUUAGUGGUAAUUGGGCUAAUGAGUUUGCCCAGUCUGGGGGGUAAUUGAAUCACCUCUAUUUGUGUAAGGAACAGGCAAAUUGAGAAGACACAGGCCUGGUCCCACAAAAGCACGUCUAUGCCUAACUCCUAUGAAAAUUAAUGGGAAUUAGGCACUCAAAUGUCUUCAGUGGUCUGGGACGCACAAAAGGGCCCCAUCUUGCCAACAGCCAGCAGAGGUUUGCCAUCGAGUUGGAUGGCAGCAAGGCUCAGGCUCUCCUGCAGCCAUGGCUGGCCGCCUGGGGCACCGCAGGGAGAAGGAAGGAAGCAGUUACGAUCUCGACCUCAGAGUGCUGACAGCACCACGGCCCCUUAUCUGUCCUUUCAGCAUACAACCCCAGGAGCUAGUGGGCUCUGGAUUCAUGGCUGUGACUGCGGGAGGCAGGCCACGGCCUCAGUGCAGUCGAGACAAAUGGAGCUGUAAGGCUGACAGAGGAACAGGCACGGAGCAAGCAGAAACAUCUCAUUAACGGCAUGAGCUGUAAUGCCCCUGCUCCACACGCAGGCUUUAGGCACGAACCCUAACACAAAGCUAAGAAGA
Non-coding RNA from Anas platyrhynchos (mallard), 8337 nucleotides. The record is from RefSeq and is a predicted model, not a curated record. Lineage: Eukaryota; Metazoa; Chordata; Aves; Anseriformes; Anatidae.